RNAcentral lists this ribosomal RNA (407 nucleotides) under uncultured bacterium. Its description in RNAcentral is "partial 16S ribosomal RNA". It matches the Rfam family "Bacterial small subunit ribosomal RNA", at positions 28 to 525 of the family's 1533-position model. The record is from RNAcentral.
GACGAACGCUGGCGGCGUGCUUAACACAUGCAAGUCGAACGAAGUGGCGAACGGGUGAGUAACGCGUAAUCAACCUGCCCUUCAGAGGGGGACAACAGUUGGAAACGACUGCUAAUACCGCAUACUGAAGGAGGGGAUUGCGUCUGAUGAGCUCGUUGGCGGGGUAACGGCCCACCAAGGCGAUGAUCAGUAGCCGGUGUGAGAGGAGGAACGGCCACAUUGGGACUGGGACACGGCCCAGACUCCUACGGGAGGCAGCAGGGGGGAAUCUUCCGAAAUGGACGAAAGUCUGACGGAGCAACGCCGCGUGAGUGAUGACGGCCUUCGGGUUGUAAAGCUCUGUUAAUCGGGACGCGGUACCGGAAUAGAAAGCCACGGCUAACUACGUGCCAGCAGCCGCGGUAAUC